UUUACUUGAUGAUCCUAAGGCCAUUUUGUAUUACCAGCGAAACCCAAAAAAAAACCUAUAAACAGGUGACUUAUUUAUAAGCGUAUCUAGGGUUUUUUCUUGUACCCUAAGUGUAAGCUUCACACCAAAAAAAACCCCUUAGCCGUCGCCGUCACUUUCUCUCCGAGACGAAAGAUGAAGACUAUCUUGUCAUCUGAGACGAUGGACAUCCCCGACGGCGUCGCCAUCAAGGUUCACGCCAAGGUGAUCGAAGUCGAAGGCCCACGCGGGAAACUCACUCGCGAUUUCAAGCAUCUCAACCUCGAUUUUCAGCUGAUUAAAGACGAGGUCACCGGGAAGCGUCAGCUCAAGAUCGAUUCGUGGUUCGGCUCUCGCAAAGCCAGUGCUUCGAUCCGAACUGCGUUAAGCCACGUCAACAAUCUCAUCGCUGGUGUCACUCAAGGUUUCCUUUACAAAAUGAGGUUUGUGUAUGCUCAUUUCCCCAUCAAUGCUUCGAUCUCCGGUGACAACAAAGCCAUCGAGAUCCGUAACUUCCUUGGCGAGAAGAAGGUUCGUUUGUUUUGUUUUGGUUGAUUUGAGAUUCUUUGUCAUUUUAAGGUAGAAAUGUUGUUGUCGAUGAUUUGCUUAUUGAUGUGUUGAAAUGGUAUGAACAGGUCAGGAAGGUUGAAAUGUUGGAUGGUGUUAAGAUUGUUCGAUCUGAGAAGGUUAAGGAUGAGAUUACUCUCGAGGGAAAUGAUAUCGAGCUUGUCUCACGGUCAUGCGCUUUGAUCAACCAGGUACUCUCUGCUCUUUUGUUUUCUUAUUGCUUGUCCUGUUUUUUGAAACUUGAAAGUUAUGGAAUCUUGAAUUGAGAAUGUAUAGAAUGGAAAAUGUACCAAAUGGGUUUCCGUAACUUGUUGUAGAAACUUAGAGAAUUUCACCAUAAUGGUCUGACUCUUGUUUGUGAUGGGUUUGAUAAUGACUUGCGUUUUAAAGAUGCAGGCUUUACCUUUGUUAAUAACUCUAUUAUAUAUGAUUGUUUGAUCAUGAUCUUGUGAAAUAAAGAAUGGUAAAUUUAACAGAUGGGUUUCUAUAGAAUGUUGCCGAAACUAUAAAAAAGUGCAACAUUAUGGUCUGAAUCUUGUUUGUGAUGAGUUUGAUUGUGAUUUGCCUAGUAAAGUGCAGACUUUGCCAUUCUUUAUAACUCUCUUAUUGAUGAUUGUUUGAUCCUGAUCUUGAGAAAGAAAACAUGGUUAAUGUAUCAUAUGUGUCUCCCUAGAGUCUUGCAGAAACUAAGAAAAAUGCAGUGUAUUGGAUCUGAAUUUUGUUUGUGAUUCGAUUGAUUAUGUUUUGCUUGAAGCUGCAGAUUUUUCCUUUAUUAAUACUCUCUUUUUGAUGUCUGUUGUCUGUUUGAUCUUGAGCAGAAAUGCCAUGUGAAGAAGAAGGAUAUUAGGAAGUUUCUCGAUGGUAUCUAUGUGAGCGAGAAGGGCAAGAUUGCUGUUGAAGAAUGAAGCUACUGAAAUGCUAUGUUAUAUUCAUAUUGUGUUACAGUGAUAUAGUCGUAGCUUUUUGUUUACAUCUCUUAUGGAUUUGCAGUUUUGUUUCCUUUGGACCAGUAUCGAUGAUGCAAACUCAUUAUCCUUUAUGUUCGGUUUUUUAUCCACUUGCUGAAGUUUCGGAAGAUAAAUUCUCUUUACUCUUCUCUAUUUUCCUUAUUUGCCUGUUGUUGGAAGUUGAUUGAACUUGAAAGAAUAUCUAUUUGAUUGAACUUGAAAGAAUAUCUAUGCUUAUAUUUUGAUGGUUUGGAUCCAUAGACUAUGUAUAUAUUUUGAUAGAUGGUAACCAAGAAACGAGUAACAUAAAUAUAUUUUGAUGGUUUGGAUCCAUAGACUAUGUAUAGAGUAGAGAGCCAAAUCGAGUCCGUUAAGAAUUGGGUCUAAGGUCAAUAAAUGUUUCUUUACUUAUUCGGGUAUUCGUUUGGUAAUUGUUCCAAUGGGAGCAUCAAAGGUGUUAUAUAUAUAUAUAUAUAUAUAUUGGAGAAUUAUGGGGGAAUUACGGGGGAAUUAUAUAUAUAUAUAUAUAUAUAUAUAUAUAUAUAUAACCGGUCUUGAAGGCAAGUAGUCUAAGCAUAGGCUUACGAUCCUAUUUUUUUAUAUAAAAUUUUCGGCCUUAAAGUUAUUAAAAGUUUUUGUAGUCUAAUGGUAUGUUGUAAGGUUGGUUUUGCUUUUUUUUUUUUUUUCAACUACCCAACUAUUACAUCACUAUUGGCCCGUUAAAAGGUGGUUCAGAAAAACCUCCUACAACUGGCUCGUUAUGAAUGAUUUGGGAAAAGAAAAAAGAAAAUGCCUUUUGCUCGAGCUCUCUUUGCAAGACUAUCCGCUCGGACAUUUGAACUUCUGGGAAUAUGAGAGAGUGUGAAGUUUAAGAAACUUUCUCGGAGAUUGCGGAAGACUUCCAACUCUGAUAAGAAAGAUGGCCAAUCCGAUGGAGAUUCUGACAUGCUUACCAAAUCCAAGCAAUCGGUUUAAAAGUGGACGGAUAAGAUCAGUCGAUCUUUUAUGCAAGACAUAGCCCAUAAGAGGCUCUCCAACUCGGCAUGAAGGGCCGAGAGGCUUCUACGACAGCCCUGAAGGCCAAAAAUCUCACCACUCCUAUCCUCCUUUAAGCUCCACCCUAGCCCAGUAAACAGGCCGCUGCCUGUCCAGGAUGCAUCAACCUGACAAAUCGGGAACCUCUGGACAUCAGGUAGAGUAAUCGGGAGCCAAGGAGUGGGGGUAGUCUCGUCUGUUGCGUCUUCGUCUUCUUCUGGGUCGUUUGCAAGCUUCCAGCUUUCUGAUUCAAUCUUGGCGUGGAUCAAAGUAUCUACUGGGGAAAUUUCUUUCCCGUUGAAGAUCUUUUCGUUCCUCGCUUUCCAAAUAUACCACAGGAUCCAAAGAUAAAUAUCCUUUUGUGGAUCUGUCAUGCCUACCUCUUUUGUUUUCCAAAAGAGGAAGCUCAUAUUUUGGUAAAUAGAAGUACUCGGGAAGAGGCCCGGAAGGGACGGAAAGUCCGAUAACGCCCAGACUUGUAAAGCCGGGGGACAUAAAAAAGAAGAUGGUUAAUAGAUUCUUCAGGAUUUCCACAACGGGGGCAGUGCUUAUCCGUUCCCAUAUGCCUAUAAGUCAGGUUUUGGCAAGUAGCAAUACAUCGUGAUAAAGUUUGCCACAUAAAAUGCUUCAUCUUUCGAGGCGUUCGUAUUUUCCAAACGUAGCUUUGAAGAGUUGUGAUGCUCGGUUCUCUCACGACAUCUGAAUUUUGUGCAAGCAUCGUUCUUCUAAUCAAAUCAUAGCCCGAUUUAACCGAAUAUAUCCCCGAUUUAGUAUGGUUCCACGCAUAUCCGUCUAAAGUGUGGUUCCUGCUAGGUCUCAACCCAAGGAUAAGAGAGACAUCCUCAGGUUGGAAAAAAACUCUUAGGAGAGGCACAUCCCAUUUCUUCGUAUCUUGCCAGAUAAGAUGUUAGACUAACAUUCCUGGAUCCUGAAAGCCGAUCUGAGGGGCUGCUCUUGGAGAUCGGGCCCUGGCAUCGGGGAUCCAAGGCUCACUCCAGGCUCUGGUGUUGAGUCCCGACCCGAUUGUCUUCCUAAGUCCCAUUUUGAGAUACGGUUUGGCGGCCAACAUACUCCUCCAUCCAUAAGAUGGUGAAUAGACAUUUCGAUCUUCUAAAGGAUCUGAUUGUCGGUAAUAUCUUCCUCUUAGCACUCGGGCCAGAAGAGAAGAAGGGUAUUGGAUGAGUCUCCAUAGCUGCUUAGCAAGCAAAGCUAGGUUAAAAUCAUUUAAAUCCCUAAAUCCCAGACCUCCCAUAUCCUGAGGAAUACAAAUUUUGUCCCAAGCGAUCCAGUGGAUCCCACUGCUAUUUUGUUUCGAGCUCCACCAAAAAUUGGCGAUGGCACUCCGGAGUUUGUCAGUAACCCCUUUAGGCAAAAGAAAGCAAGACAUGACGUAAGUAGGGACUGCUUGAGCCACCGAUUUUAUCUGAAUGUCUUUCCCACCUUUGGAUAGAAGUCUUGCAGACCAAUUAUUUACCCGAUUACUAAGUCGGUCAUGUACAAAGGAGAAGACCUUCUUCUUUGAUCCACAGAUUUGUUCUGGAAGGCCCAGAUACAUACCCAUUCCACCUACCGAAGUGAUGCCGAUGGAAUUUUUGAUACUUCGUUUAAGAUUUGGAUCCACUCUAUUACCAAACAUGAUGGAUGAUUUGCCUAGAUUAAGUUGUUGUCCUGACGCUUUUCCAUAAGUAUCAAUAAUUUUGAAUAUUUCCGCUCCCUGAUGGAUAUCCGCUUUACAGAAAAACAGACUAUCAUCAGCGAAGAAGAGAUGGGAAACUGGAGGACUUGCUUGAGCUAUUUUUAGCCCAGAAAUGCGAUCUUCUUCCUCAGCUCCCUUGAGGAGAGAUAUUAGUCCUUCAGUACACAGGAUGAAGAGGAAAGGGGAUAGAGGGUCUCCUUGUCUCAAGCCUCUCGACGGUUUGAUAUUUCCUUUGGGUUCUCCAUUAAUCAGGACCUGAUAAAAGACCGAUGAGAUGCAGAACAUCAGUAGACUGACCCAUCUCGACGAGUAUCCCAUUUUGGUGAGGAGAGCUUCAAUGAAUCCUCAUUCAACCCGAUCGUAUGCUUUACAUAAAAUUUUCUCUGCAAUUUGUGUUGGUACGAAGAGCAUGAAAAUUUUCUUGUGCUAACAGAAUGUUGUCAGUGAUGAGUCGUCUAGCCAUGAAGGCCGAUUGUGUUUCCGAAAUAAGGUUUGGUAAGGUCUUUUUGAGCCGUUUGCACAAAAGCUUGGAGAUAAUCUUAUAACUCACAUUACAUAAGCUAAUUGGACGGAACUCCGUCAUCGAUCUAGGUUUGUUGGUUUUUGGGAUAAGACAAAUAUUGGUCUGAUUAAGUUUAGGAUCAAAAACUCCAGAUCUGAAGAAUUCUUUUACCAAUUUUACUAUGUCUUGGCGGAGGAAACGCCAGAAUUUUUGAUAGAAUUUACUUGUCAUACCAUCAGGUCCUGGGGCUUUGUCCGGGUUAAUAUCGAAGAGAGCAUCUUUUAUUUCAUUUUCUGACGGAUCCUUCAGAAGAAAUUCAUUAUCAUUAUCUGAGACUUUCUCGGUGAUAAACCGGAGUGAAUCUUCUAGAUCAGAGGGUAUAGACGAGGAAAAAAGUUUCUGAAAAUACUGCAAUGCCACCCGUUCGAUUCCCCUUGCAUUUUCUACCAGAUGUCCAUUGCUGUCUUUUAGAGCUACAAUACGGUUUCGGGCUCGCCUCUGUUUAGUGAGUGCGUGGAAGAAUUUGGUAUUUUUAUCGCCGUCUUUAUGCCAUUUUUCUCGGCUUUUCUGUUGCCAAAACAUUUCUUCUUCCCUAAGGGCUACACAGAGCUUCCUCCUAAUUUCUUCAAUUUCUUCAAGCGUUGUGUUUUCAUCAUCUUGAGCUAAGUCCAGUUGAUUUUUCAAUUCUUCUAUCAUUCUUUCUGAGUUAGACGGGUUGGAUUUCUUCCAAAUGGAGAUGUUUUUCCGGCAUUGGGUAACCUUUUGAUGAAAAUCUCUACGUGAGAAUUCAUCAAAUGGGCCCCACCCAGAAACGACUGUCUCUUUGAAUCCUGGUUUUCCGAUCCAUUUUUUAUCAAAUCGAAAAGAUUUUUUCCUCCUUAUGUUGUUAAUUUUGAUCAUAGCGAGGACUAGACGAUGGUCUGAUCCCCACAGUUUCAUGUACUCCACAGAGGAGUGGGAAAAUUUAGACAUCCAUUCUUCAUUUCCGAGAGCUCUGUCAAGGCGGCAUUUGACUUUGCCCGACCGUCUUCUUCCAACCCAGGAGAAAGAGUUUCCUUUAUAAGGAAAAUCAAGCAUUCCACAAUCAUUUAGCAUAUUCCGGAAUGAAAUAAAGGAGCUCUCAGGUCUUCUCCUACCACCCCGCUUUUCGUGGUUUCCUGUAAUUUCAUUGAAGUCCCCAAUCAUAAACCAUGCUUCUUUUCUGGACAGGCUCAUCCGGGUGAGGCGUUCCCAAACUAGUUCUCGAUUUUUUACAAUCGGAUCACCAUAGACGAAAGUCAUAAAAAUUUUAUGUCCGUCUAGAGUAGUUUCAAUAUCAAUCAAAUGCUCAUCCGAAUAAGAAAUAGAAACCGAGGGUUCAUCCAUAUAAAAGAGGGCUAGACCGCCGCUUCGACCUCUCGGUUCAACGGUCUAAACAUGGUCAUAGCCAAAAUGCACUUGCAUAUCUUGCAUAAAAUAGCAAUUGUUCUUUGUUUCUGAUAAAAAUAGGAACCGAGGUUGAAAACAGUGAUAAAGUUCUUCUAGAUGAUCCUUUGUUAGAUCGGCUCCCGCACCCUGACAGUUCCAUCCAAUCACGUUCAUUUCAGAUCAAAGACUGGUAUUUGGGCUCCUCCAAGACUAGAUGAAGAUGGACCUUUUUGGAUUUUGGGCCUUUAAAGAUUUAUUUUCUUCUUCUUUUUUUUCGCAAUUGGGCCUAGCCCAAAACUGGAAAUUAUUUAUAUGUGCGAUUUAGCUUGUAUGUGUUUAAAACCCAGCAGAUUACACUAAACCUUGGGCUUAGCCCAGAAUUGAAAUUGAGCCCAUUAAUUUACUGGCUGAGAAACCAUACACAAAUUAGGUCAAAAAAACAAAAAAAUUUUGGCCUCUGAUGAAGUCGUCUCUGACGCCACAUCAACGAAGGCCGAGCUUCAACGCUUCUUUCUUCCCGAUUAAAAUUUUUUAACCAAACUGAGCUUAAGUUGUGCAAUCAGUUCAGAGUAAUCCACCUUGUUAAAAAAGCAAGUCAUCGUCUUCUUCUUUACUCUUGUUGAAAGGUGAUGCUGUUCUUUGGAUAUUAACAUGAUUUAUCCAAGAGAACUAAAUGAGGAUAGAUUGUCAGGAGAUUUACACAUCUGGAGAAAAAGAAAUUCUUAGCCCGAGGCUAGAUAAAAGAACUGGCGCCGCCGAGAAGCUUUCCACGAGGGAAGCGGGAGACCAAAACCACCGACUCUGUUAGAAGCUAGGAUCUAAACAAAGAGAGAAAAACCAGUAAAUGCACACCACCAACCUAACCCUCACCUCAAAGAGGAUUUGGAUUGGAGGUUAAGCAUGCCAUUUAUGGAGAUGGAUUUUAGGUUCACAGAGAUGCAGGGAUGAGAUGCAGAAGUGAUAGACUUUAGACAAACAGGCGAUGGACUUUAAGUUUCUGGGAUAUGAGUGCGAUUAGAAGGAUAGAAGAUUGGUGGAAAUGGAAGUUGAAACAAAGAAGGUUUGAAAAAACCAUAUCGAAAAGAGUAAGAAGAAGAGAUUUAAAAUUCAAAUCUUGGAAAAAGAAGAUCUGAACUCUCGUGGUAGCUACAUCGGAGAAUGGGCCAGAGAGAGUUUUCUCCUGUGUUCUUCUGGCACUAAGUAUAAAAAAACGAUCUCUAUAGGUUGGUCUUGCUUAGUAGUUGAGACUUUUUGAAUUUGAAUCUCAAUUCUGUAUUUUAUUUUAGUAAAUCAGUUUAAAUCCAUGUUUUUUUAUAAAACGACCUAUUUUUUUCUUUAGCUUGCGGUCACUUAAAACUCAGGGCCGACUCUGUAUAUAUAUAUUCAUAUGAAUAAUAUCUAUAAACAGAAAAAUGUCGAGCCAUUCUCGAUUUCUAUAAAAUUCAACUUCAAUAGCAAUCUUAUCACUUUAAACAUAACAUGAAAACUUCAAUGAAAAAUCCACUAAAACUCCAUACUACAUUGCUUUUCUGAUCAUCUUUAAUUCUUCUUUCAUUUGAUUCAAGUCAUAGUUCACUUCCACCAUUUUGGCCUUAUACUAUCAUCAAGAUGACAAAUUGUUUUGGCAGUCCACCUCUUAGUUCAUUGCAAAUCCAAAGAUUACGAUUUGGGGGUUCACAAUGUGUCUUUCAAUACAGAUUACCACUUUAAAUUUCAAACAAAUGUUUGGAAAUAAACACUGUUCUUCUGCAGCUUUGAAUGUAACUUUAUUAGAAAAAAAAAUCUGUUUAUUAUGUAUUCAUGUUGAAAAUAAAAGAUAUGAUGUUUUGAUGUUUCGAUCUAGUAAAGACUAGUUUGGUGUUCUCUAGUAUUUGUUAGUUCACGAAUGCGUGAAAAUAGAGGAAGGAAAUAAACACCAGUGAUACAUUCAAUGUUUGCAUCAUUUUUAUACUUUCUCAUAACAAUGCUCAAGAAAUAGAAUCUACUUAUACAUCUUUUAUACAUUGGGUAGUUAGUUUAGUCCAAAUUUUGCACACUGGAUUCUUUUUAUCCAAGUUUGUUGAUAUAAUGAAAAAGUUGGCUAAAUCGAGCAGUUACAUCAGUAACGAAAACAUAUUUUUCAUUUCAUGGCACCAGUUAUAUUGGAAUAUGAUGAAUGUUUAGCAAAUUACGGAGGCUGUUAGGUCUUCUUGGAAAACGAGAACAUAACAUUUAAAGCGGUCGACCAAAAAAAAAUUGAAAACAUAACAUUUGCAACAUUCGACCAAAUUUAUUUUGAAACUUCCUUAUGUUGAAUUUUUUAAAUUUUCAGAAUCUCAAGUGGAUUUGAUAUUCAUAACAAGAGAGCAUGAGAGCUUCUAGAAGACUUGCAGCUAGGGUUUGAGAACACGUUGUGACUUAACCUGGUUAAGGUGCACAAAGUUUAAUACUCACUCUGUCCUAAAAUAUAAGAUGUUCUAGAUAAAAGUGCAGAGAUCAAGAAACUAAAUUUUUAAAACAAAACAUCAUUAAUUAUUAGUUAAAAAUAUAAUUUAGUCAAUCAUAAAAAAUACAUUAGAAUUUAAAGAGUUAACAAAUAAAAUAACAUAGAAAUUUGUAAAACAUCUUAUAAAAUAAAACAAAACUUUUUUAUAAACAUUUUAUAUUUUAGGACAGAGUAAAAUACUUUCUUUUCCCUUUCAAGUUUUGUAAUACUCUUAUCAAUAAUCAUUUUUCAAUCUAUUUUGAAUAAUAACCACAUAUAAAUCGAUGAAGCGGUUCACAAUAUGAUAAUCGAGAACGGAGCGCAUCAUUCACCACUGUUCUAUAGAAAAAGAAUUUUUAUCUGGAUCUAAGUGUAAUUUUUUUAUAUUCCUAUUAGAUUAGGCCUCACCAGAAAAUUAUGAAAAUAUUUAUAUUUUAAAAUUGAUAACCUGAUUAUAAUCUGUCUAGUUAGAUUCUAAAUUAUGAUCUCAUUAAUUUAUCUAUAAAAUAUAUUUUAAUUUAUCAUUAGGAAAUUCAAAAUUGAUUACAAACUUGAUAAACAAUCUUUAUAACUUAAAAAUAUUAUGAAUUAUAAAUUUUAUAGUUUAUAUUUUUUUUCUAUUUCGUAAUUUAUAUUUUUUAUUUUAAUAAUUUAUUUAAAAAACAUAAAUUUAUUUUUUUUAUUUUUGAAAUAAAUAACUAAAAUUAGAAAUUUAUACUAUUCUAUUAAAAAUAUCAUGAUCAAAAUUAAAUGUGAAACAUGAUGCAAUUUAAUGAAUUAUAAUUUUGUUUACGUGUUGCAUUCACUUUUAAAAAUUCUUCUUCAUAUAUAAUAAUAAUAAUAAUAAUAAUAAUAAUAAUAAUAAUAAUAAUAAUAAUAAUAAUAAUAAUAAUAAUAAUAAUAAUAAUAAUAAUAAUAAUAAUAAGAUGAUGAUUAGUCAAUCAAAUUCCUAUACAUACAAUACAUACGAUUAUGACGAAAAAUGACUCUACAACGCAGCUCUCUUCCAUUACACAACUUUACAUGCAGUACUCAAUAUAACAUCCAAGUAAUUUUGCAUCUAUUAAUUUUUAAUUACAUUCUCUGAAAAUCCAAUCUCAUAUAUAAUGUAAAAGCUUUUAAAUCAUUUACAGCCGAGUCAAAUAGCUUUUCACAAACAUAAGUUCAAUUAAAUACAGUAGAAACUAUAAAAAUUAAUAUUCAAUAAAUUAAUAAAUUUGAUAAAUUAAUAAUUUGUUUUGUCCAAAAUUUAUGUUUUGAUCCAGUUAUUCUCUUUAUAAAUUAAAAACUAAUAUAAGAGUCCUAAUGUUAUUAAUCUAUAGAUUUUUUUACUGUAUAUUUGUAAUGUGGCGACAAAACAAAAUUAAGGGGGAUUGAAAUGAAUUAGAUUUCUAUAGAAUUAUACUGUUAUUCAAUGGUGUAAUUCAUGAAUUCUUUUAAAUUCAUGUGUUAUUGGAUUAGAUAUUCGUAAUCAUUCUUCUAAUUAAAUUAAUUUAACUAGUGUCAUUCAAUUUAUUGAUUUCUUAAUUUUAUUAAAUAUUUGUGUUAUUCAAUUUUGUUACAGCAUUUAUGAUAUUGUCAUUUGGUAAGAAUUUCACUAAAAAAAAUACAAAGAACCAAUUCCCAGCAUUUUUGCUGUUAUUUGGAUAGAAUUCAUUAAAAUCCUAACAAAAAUUUUAAAUUACUCUAAAAUUAAUUAAUUUAAAAUUUAUUUGCAUUCUAUUAAAUUCAAGCAUCCAAUACCCUCACCUAAAUCCAUUUGUAAUGUCAUAACUCAUAACAUACAAUACUAAAAUGAAAUUCCUAAUAAUGAUGGGCCUUUUAUGGACAUUCGUAUGAUGGGCUUUACUUGAUGAUCCUAAGGCCAUUUUGUAUUACCAGCGAAACCCAAAAAAAAACCUAUAAACAGGUGACUUAUUUAUAAGCGUAUCUAGGGUUUUUUCUUGUACCCUAAGUGUAAGCUUCACACCAAAAAAAACCCCUUAGCCGUCGCCGUCACUUUCUCUCCGAGACGAAAGAUGAAGACUAUCUUGUCAUCUGAGACGAUGGACAUCCCCGACGGCGUCGCCAUCAAGGUUCACGCCAAGGUGAUCGAAGUCGAAGGCCCACGCGGGAAACUCACUCGCGAUUUCAAGCAUCUCAACCUCGAUUUUCAGCUGAUUAAAGACGAGGUCACCGGGAAGCGUCAGCUCAAGAUCGAUUCGUGGUUCGGCUCUCGCAAAGCCAGUGCUUCGAUCCGAACUGCGUUAAGCCACGUCAACAAUCUCAUCGCUGGUGUCACUCAAGGUUUCCUUUACAAAAUGAGGUUUGUGUAUGCUCAUUUCCCCAUCA
Molecule: long non-coding RNA, 10967 nt
Filed under: Eutrema salsugineum
Lineage: Eukaryota; Viridiplantae; Streptophyta; Magnoliopsida; Brassicales; Brassicaceae
Description: long non-coding RNA (ESAL_LNC000860)
Source: RNAcentral